AUAUAGCAUUGAAGGGAUCUUAGUAGUGCCUAGAAUUUUUGUCUCAGAGAGCUGGUGGUCGGUGCGAAUCAGUACAUAUCUAGGGCAUGAAUUACACUCCNAUUUGGUCUUUGGGAAAGACGGCAACAUAGCCGUUAUCAGAAUGAAGUGGUGAGCUCAUGCUCGCAACUAGGGUGGUACCGCGAUGUCUAUUCGUCCCUACU
This 203-nucleotide non-coding RNA is filed under the name Aneurinibacillus migulanus. Its description in RNAcentral is "T-box sequence". It matches the Rfam family "T-box leader". From Rfam's summary of the family: Uncharged tRNA acts as the effector for transcription antitermination of genes in the T-box leader family. The record is from RNAcentral. Lineage: Bacteria; Bacillati; Bacillota; Bacilli; Caryophanales; Paenibacillaceae.